Molecule: ribosomal RNA, 128 nt
Filed under: uncultured delta proteobacterium
Lineage: Bacteria; Deltaproteobacteria
Description: partial 16S ribosomal RNA
Rfam family: Bacterial small subunit ribosomal RNA
Source: RNAcentral
GUGUGAUGAAGGUCUUCGGAUCGUAAAGCACUUUCGACCGGGACGAAAACCCGCUGGCUAACAUCCAGCGAUUUGACGGUACCGGGAGAAGAAGCACCGGCUAACUCUGUGCCAGCACCGCGGUAAUA